This 326-nucleotide unclassified non-coding RNA is filed under the name rhizosphere metagenome. RNAcentral describes it as "partial ribosomal RNA internal transcribed spacer region". The record is from RNAcentral.
GUAGGUGAACCUGCGGAAGGAUCAUUACUGAGUAAACCCACACCCCGCCCGCCACCCAAGCCCAACAACAACAACAACAACACACAUUUGUUGUUUUGGCUUUUUUUUAAAAUAAUCUCUCCCCCCAAACCAACGUGUUGUUAGGGGGGGGGGAGAAGAUUUGUGCACUGUAGGGAAACCUAAAAAACCGCCUUUGGCAGGGACACCCACACACCUGCCAGAGGUUAAAGUCCAAUCCAACUUUUUCUAAUACUUUUUACAGUCUGAAAUACCACCUGUUAAUAAAAAAACAUACACCACUUUUAACAACGGAUCUCUUGGCUCUU